Molecule: ribosomal RNA, 1448 nt
Filed under: Limosilactobacillus fermentum
Lineage: Bacteria; Bacillati; Bacillota; Bacilli; Lactobacillales; Lactobacillaceae
Description: bacterial SSU rRNA
Rfam family: Bacterial small subunit ribosomal RNA
Source: RNAcentral
UACAUGCAAGUCGAACGCGUUGGCCCAAUUGAUUGAUGGUGCUUGCACCUGAUUGAUUUUGGUCGCCAACGAGUGGCGGACGGGUGAGUAACACGUAGGUAACCUGCCCAGAAGCGGGGGACAACAUUUGGAAACAGAUGCUAAUACCGCAUAACAGCGUUGUUCGCAUGAACAACGCUUAAAAGAUGGCUUCUCGCUAUCACUUCUGGAUGGACCUGCGGUGCAUUAGCUUGUUGGUGGGGUAAUGGCCUACCAAGGCGAUGAUGCAUAGCCGAGUUGAGAGACUGAUCGGCCACAAUGGGACUGAGACACGGCCCAUACUCCUACGGGAGGCAGCAGUAGGGAAUCUUCCACAAUGGGCGCAAGCCUGAUGGAGCAACACCGCGUGAGUGAAGAAGGGUUUCGGCUCGUAAAGCUCUGUUGUUAAAGAAGAACACGUAUGAGAGUAACUGUUCAUACGUUGACGGUAUUUAACCAGAAAGUCACGGCUAACUACGUGCCAGCAGCCGCGGUAAUACGUAGGUGGCAAGCGUUAUCCGGAUUUAUUGGGCGUAAAGAGAGUGCAGGCGGUUUUCUAAGUCUGAUGUGAAAGCCUUCGGCUUAACCGGAGAAGUGCAUCGGAAACUGGAUAACUUGAGUGCAGAAGAGGGUAGUGGAACUCCAUGUGUAGCGGUGGAAUGCGUAGAUAUAUGGAAGAACACCAGUGGCGAAGGCGGCUACCUGGUCUGCAACUGACGCUGAGACUCGAAAGCAUGGGUAGCGAACAGGAUUAGAUACCCUGGUAGUCCAUGCCGUAAACGAUGAGUGCUAGGUGUUGGAGGGUUUCCGCCCUUCAGUGCCGGAGCUAACGCAUUAAGCACUCCGCCUGGGGAGUACGACCGCAAGGUUGAAACUCAAAGGAAUUGACGGGGGCCCGCACAAGCGGUGGAGCAUGUGGUUUAAUUCGAAGCUACGCGAAGAACCUUACCAGGUCUUGACAUCUUGCGCCAACCCUAGAGAUAGGGCGUUUCCUUCGGGAACGCAAUGACAGGUGGUGCAUGGUCGUCGUCAGCUCGUGUCGUGAGAUGUUGGGUUAAGUCCCGCAACGAGCGCAACCCUUGUUACUAGUUGCCAGCAUUAAGUUGGGCACUCUAGUGAGACUGCCGGUGACAAACCGGAGGAAGGUGGGGACGACGUCAGAUCAUCAUGCCCCUUAUGACCUGGGCUACACACGUGCUACAAUGGACGGUACAACGAGUCGCGAACUCGCGAGGGCAAGCAAAUCUCUUAAAACCGUUCUCAGUUCGGACUGCAGGCUGCAACUCGCCUGCACGAAGUCGGAAUCGCUAGUAAUCGCGGAUCAGCAUGCCGCGGUGAAUACGUUCCCGGGCCUUGUACACACCGCCCGUCACACCAUGAGAGUUUGUAACACCCAAAGUCGGUGGGGUAACCUUUUAGGAGCCAGCCGC